GAUGAACGCUGGCGGCGUGCCUAAUACAUGCAAGUCGAGCGAACAGAUAAGGAGCUUGCUCCUUUGACGUUAGCGGCGGACGGGUGAGUAACACGUGGGUAACCUACCUAUAAGACUGGGAUAACUUCGGGAAACCGGAGCUAAUACCGGAUAAUAUUUCGAACCGCAUGGUUCGAUAGUGAAAGAUGGUUUUGCUAUCACUUAUAGAUGGACCCGCGCCGUAUUAGCUAGUUGGUAAGGUAACGGCUUACCAAGGCGACGAUACGUAGCCGACCUGAGAGGGUGAUCGGCCACACUGGAACUGAGACACGGUCCAGACUCCUACGGGAGGCAGCAGUAGGGAAUCUUCCGCAAUGGGCGAAAGCCUGACGGAGCAACGCCGCGUGAGUGAUGAAGGUUUUCGGAUCGUAAAACUCUGUUAUUAGGGAAGGACAUACGUGUAAGUAACUGUGCACGUCUUGACGGUACCUAAUCAGAAAGCCACGGCUAACUACGUGCCAGCAGCCGCGGUAAUACGUAGGUGGCAAGCGUUAUCCGGAAUUAUUGGGCGUAAAGCGCGCGUAGGCGGUUUUUUAAGUCUGAUGUGAAAGCCCACGGCUCAACCGUGGAGGGUCAUUGGAAACUGGAAAACUUGAGUGCAGAAGAGGAAAGUGGAAUUCCAUGUGUAGCGGUGAAAUGCGCAGAGAUAUGGAGGAACACCAGUGGCGAAGGCGACUUUCUGGUCUGUAACUGACGCUGAUGUGCGAAAGCGUGGGGAUCAAACAGGAUUAGAUACCCUGGUAGUCCACGCCGUAAACGAUGAGUGCUAAGUGUUAGGGGGUUUCCGCCCCUUAGUGCUGCAGCUAACGCAUUAAGCACUCCGCCUGGGGAGUACGACCGCAAGGUUGAAACUCAAAGGAAUUGACGGGGACCCGCACAAGCGGUGGAGCAUGUGGUUUAAUUCGAAGCAACGCGAAGAACCUUACCAAAUCUUGACAUCCUUUGACAACUCUAGAGAUAGAGCUUUCCCCUUCGGGGGACAAAGUGACAGGUGGUGCAUGGUUGUCGUCAGCUCGUGUCGUGAGAUGUUGGGUUAAGUCCCGCAACGAGCGCAACCCUUAAGCUUAGUUGCCAUCAUUAAGUUGGGCACUCUAAGUUGACUGCCGGUGACAAACCGGAGGAAGGUGGGGAUGACGUCAAAUCAUCAUGCCCCUUAUGAUUUGGGCUACACACGUGCUACAAUGGACAAUACAAAGGGCAGCGAAACCGCGAGGUCAAGCAAAUCCCAUAAAGUUGUUCUCAGUUCGGAUUGUAGUCUGCAACUCGACUACAUGAAGCUGGAAUCGCUAGUAAUCGUAGAUCAGCAUGCUACGGUGAAUACGUUCCCGGGUCU
Molecule: ribosomal RNA, 1372 nt
Filed under: uncultured bacterium
Lineage: Bacteria
Description: bacterial SSU rRNA
Rfam family: Bacterial small subunit ribosomal RNA
Source: RNAcentral